Long non-coding RNA from Salvia miltiorrhiza (redroot sage), 1636 nucleotides. RefSeq lists it as uncharacterized. The record is from RefSeq and is a predicted model, not a curated record. The transcript is spliced from 2 exons. NCBI's taxonomy places the organism in Eukaryota, Viridiplantae, Streptophyta, Magnoliopsida, Lamiales, Lamiaceae.
CAAUGAAAUAAUGUAAUAAAAGCCCAUCUGAGUAAAAUAAAUAAAUUCAGAGGCCCAAUCAGUAAAUAAAAUCGGCCCAAAAUUAAUAAAUAAUCCAGCCCAACUCAAGCCCACUGAAAAUAAAUAACAAAGCCCAAUAAAAUAAUAACUAGGAGGCCCAAAUUUUUCGGCCCAACUCAAUUAAAAAUAAAGGCCCAAUCACAGCCCAAAUACUAAAAUAAAUAAAGCCCAAAGAAUUGGCCCAACUCCAUCUUCUUCUCCUUCAAACACGGUCCAUACUAUUCUCUCACCCACACAAUUUCAGAUCUCUCUCUCUCUUCAAAGAAACGCACACACAGACGCACAUCUCACCCUCUCACGCGAUCUGCCGCCGCCGCCUGAGACCCGCGAAGGAUCCGGCGCAACCGCCGCCGACAGAUGUUGCUGUUGCCGCUGCUGUCUGAGAUCGGUGGUCAAAACGCCUGCUGGAGGAACGCCGCUGCCGUCAGCUUGUCCGAAGUCGCCGCCAACUACCGCUGCUGUUUCGCCGGAGUCGCGGCCUGGAGCUGCUGCAGCUCGUUCGGUGGUCAGUGGCUCGUUGGAGGAGCGCCGCCGUCGGCCGCUGCUGUUGACAGCAAGAGCCCGGCAGCCGCCUCUCCCGGAGCCGCCGUCGCCGUGAGUCGCAGAGCUCCGACAGUCCAGUACCACUCAUCCUAAAGCUAAGUUCUCUAGUCAUUCUUCCUUUCAAAAUAAAGAAUCUGAAAAUCUAAUUCCUCCUCUCUCUCUUUCGUUGGUAGGAAGAGGAAAAAGGCAGCGCCUUUGCCGCUGUGUCGUGACUGAGUAACCGGCGAGCAGAACCGCUGAGGUCUGUGCUUGCGCCCCUCCGACGCCGGUGAAAGUUCUGCCGUCGCGUCCUCGAUUCACUGAGCAGGGCAGUCAGCCUCAUUUCCUAAAGCUAAGUUCGAUUCCCAAUUGUUGUGUAAAAGAAAUUCUUGUGGUAUCUAAUACUCUAUGAAUCUCAUAAAUGUUAUUGUUAUCUAGAGUACUUGGUUUAGAAGCUAAAAUGUUGAAACGUACUUAUCUCGCAUAAAAAUUCUAGUCUGAUGUACUGCUAUUUAUGCCUUUGUCUUGUGAAUAAAACUGAUUGAGCUAUUCUAUAUCUGAAUUUUUGAUUGAUCUAAGCAUGCUAUGUUGGGGUGUGAAAUAUGCAAACAUAUAGACUAACUUGAGAUGGUAAUACCUUGAUUGUUUUGUCCUUUUGGCUGUCUGUUGCUCUGUUUGAAUUUAAUGAGAAGAUAGCUGAAAAAAAAUCACAUAUCUUGUUUUUUUUUAACAAUGCAGGGAGAACUAAGAAAAGAAAAAAAAAUGGAUAAGGCUAAGCCAAUCUUACCUCUUCGAAGUUUUGCAGCAGCUAGACAAUUCUCUCAAGCUAUUGAUGCUUAAAGAGAGAAGAAUUUGGUGGGUGAUAUAAUAAGGAGUGAAGUUGGUGGCUGUAAAGGGAGGAAAGCAUGGCUUUUGGUGGUUGAAGAGGAAUGGUGUUGCAUUUGAUGUGUAGUAAUGUGGGAUAUGGCUGAAGUACAGCUCUUGCCUCUUGGGAAUUAUAAACUUGUAGUACAGUAACGCGCUUAAUGAAAUACUAAUCUUGAAUUCUUACUAA